GCAUAUCAAUAAGCGGAGGAAAAGAAAAUAACAAUGAUUUCCCUAGUAACGGCGAAGUGAAGAAGGAAAGAGCUCAAAGUUGGAACCUGUUUGGCUUAGCUAAACCGGAUUGUAAACUGUAGAAGUGUUUUCCUGACACGCCAGAUAAAUAAGUCCUUUGGAACAGGGCAUCAUAGAGGGUGAGAAUCCCGUCUUUGGUCUGAGCUGUUGUCUUUUGUGAUACACUUUCAAAGAGUCAGGUUGUUUGGGAAUGCAGCCUAAAUUGGGUGGUAAAUCUCACCUAAAGCUAAAUAUUUGCGAGAGACCGAUAGCGAACAAGUACCGUGAGGGAAAGAUGAAAAGAACUUUGAAAAGAGAGUUAAACAGUAUGUGAAAUUGUUAAAAGGGAACCGUUUGGAGCCAGACUGGCUUGGCUGUAAUCAAUCUAGAUCCUUCUGGAUGCACUUGCAGUCUAUGCCUGCCAACGACAAUUUUUUCUAAAGGAAAAAACCAAGAGGAAUGUGGCCCUUCGGGGUGUUAUAGCCUUUUGGAAAAUACUUUGGAUUGGAUUGAGGAACGCAGCGAAUGCCUUUAGGCGAGAUUGCUGGGCGCUUUUACUAAUAGAUGCUAGAAUUUCUGCUUCGGGUGGUGCUAGUGUUUAAAGGUGAAACUCGUUUAGUAUAUUUUUCAUUCGCUUAGGUUGUUGGCUUAAUGACUCUAAAUGACCCGUCUUGAAACACGGACCAAGGAGUCCACCAUAAGUGCAAGUAUUUGGGUGCCAAACCCAUAUGCGCAAGGAAACUGAUUGAUACGAAGUCUCACGAUGGCAGUAUCACCCGGCGUUGACGUUUUAUACUGAACUGACCGAGGUUAAGCACUUAUGAUGGGACCCGAAAGAUGGUGAACUAUGCCUGAAUAGGGUGAAGCCGGAGGAAACUCCGGUGGAGGCUCGUAGCGAUUCUGACGUGCAAAUCGAUCGUCAAAUUUGGGUAUAGGGGCGAAAGACUAAUCGAA
This 993-nucleotide ribosomal RNA is filed under the name Hyphomucor assamensis. RNAcentral describes it as "LSU rRNA". It matches the Rfam family "Eukaryotic large subunit ribosomal RNA", at positions 38 to 939 of the family's 3401-position model. Lineage: Eukaryota; Fungi; Mucoromycota; Mucoromycetes; Mucorales; Mucoraceae. The record is from RNAcentral.